Lutra lutra (Eurasian river otter) is the source of this 329-nucleotide long non-coding RNA. RefSeq lists it as uncharacterized. The record is from RefSeq and is a predicted model, not a curated record. The transcript has 3 exons. Lineage: Eukaryota; Metazoa; Chordata; Mammalia; Carnivora; Mustelidae.
UUCAUUAGGUAAUUCAUAAGGGCAGAUCUCUUGCAUAGUGUGGAAGCCUGGGAUCUUUCACUCUUCUACCUGGAAAUGGGUGAAAUCAUUUCCUCUCUGCACUUGCAAACUUGAUCCCAGGCACAUUCUUUGACAUGAGAUCUUGCUCAGUAAUGGAAAAUGCCUGCGGAAGACUGCUGGAUGAAAGAGACUUUGCCUAGCAAUGAAAUUCACUGCCCAAGUCACCUGUUUACAAGAUGUUUUGUAAGCCAAGGGGCAGAGAGAUUGAAAAUUGUCAUACAAGGAGCAGAGUCCCAGAAGGAGGCUCUUCUAAUAGUCUGUUGGAGAGG